Molecule: long non-coding RNA, 4506 nt
Organism: Felis catus (domestic cat)
Lineage: Eukaryota; Metazoa; Chordata; Mammalia; Carnivora; Felidae
Exons: 3
Source: RefSeq, a predicted model, not a curated record
GCAUUCUAAGGGAAGAAGAAAGAACCUUGUCAGCUGAGGAGAUUCCAUGCCUUUCUUCCCCGGUGCAGGUCAGUCCAAACUUACCCGAUGUUUCAGAAUAUGAAUUUGUUUCUUCACAUGCUCUACACAUGUGUAUUCGCCCCUGCUGUGGACCAGGCAUGAAGCCAGGAGUUAAGGCCCCAAUAAUAAAUGAGCUGUUGUUGUCCUGAGAGAGCUCAGGGUCAGUGGUACAACAGACAUCCACAGGCCAAGAGGAAGGCCGAGACUGGUGGGCAGAUUUGUUAGGUACCAUGCUCAGAACUUUCCAUAAUGAUCUUUAGCUCUGAACAGCCCUGUGAGCAUUAUCCUCAUUUUCACAGCUGAGGAAGCUCCAAGAGGUCAAGUGAUACACUCAACGAUCAGGCAGCACCAGCUACCGCGAAACCGUGGUCUGCCGAGGCCUGCAUUCUGGCACAAUCUAGGCUGUUUCCCAAAUCAUUUCAAUGUAACAGGUACAGAUCUACGGGGGGUAGAUGGUUCCUACAAGCACAGGGGGCACAGGACUCUGUUGAGAAGGGAUGGGGGGCCCUACCCCAGUCCUGAGGCCUCAGGGGCUAUCCCUCUGGAAAGCGCUGAAGGCUAAAGGAGCAGAGUUUGCAAAGCACCUGCGGGGCCAUGGACAGACACAUCUGGGACACAGAAUGUCAGCCUUGCUACGCUGGGAAAUGACAAACAAGUCAGAAGAGCUGAACGUGCCGGGUGCCUGCAACAGCAAAGGAUCAGUAAGGGAGGCUGUGUCUAAGAGGCUGCCUCCAGCUGGGUGAGAAGAGGACUUGUGGCGAUCAGGCUCUGCUGAACCCUCUACAACAUUCCAGGCAACAAGUGAUGAGGACAUCCACUGAGACCAAGGUACCUCUAUCAGCGUUCUUUUGGUGGCAAGAAAAGAGACCCAACACACACUGGGGCAAAGCAGAAAGACUGACCAGGAGGAUGCUGGGAUUGCUCAAGAAUGAAGAGAAAAGAGCAGAGUGGCCAAGGCUGGGGAGGGGCAGGAGUGGUGGCUGCCCAGGGCCCCCGGCAGCAGGAACCAGGUGCUGGCAGGGCUUUUCUCCAUUUCAUCUCCUGGGCCUGGCUUCCCCUCAUCAACACAGCUCCCCUGACUCUGGGAGAGGGGCCUCUGACUGAGGCAGGCUCUGUGGCCAGCUGCGGUGGGGUGGCAUCUCUAAGACUAGCCCAGCAAGGGUCACAGGUAAGUCCCCUGAGGCCCAGGGGGAAGUGUAGGGAGAGGAGACCUCCAGAACCAGGACUAGACUGUGGGGGAUAUUGAGAGAUCAAGUCUGUCAAUUCCUGGUUGGGAUAGGAGGAGGUUGUGAGUCCAGACAGGGUGUACCGGUCUGAGAGUCCUUCACCCACAAAAGUGUCAAAAGCUAGAAGGGCUCAAAACAGGAAGGGAAAAGAAACUCCAGCAUCCUUCAGGAAAACAGAGAGAAAGUUCUUUUGACAUCUAGAUUGUCUUGUUGUGCAAAGCCCUCUCUUUUCACUCUACAGCUCCUCCUUUAGCUACUCUUAGAGCUUUCACUUACCAUCCUCAGACCAGCACCUCCUAGUAGGUCUCCAGGUGGACUUUUCUGGAAGGAAGUGCUAAGUGGACUAAACCAAGGGAUUUUCAGGUGCGCUGUAUUACCUUCUUUGAAGAUCUGGUUGGUCUGUUCACUGGCUCAUCCUGACAAAGGGCACAAACCCAGACAGAGCUGCAGCCCUCACUCUGCUUGUCCCCACAUGGUCUGGUCAGGGUCACAGCUCCUGCCCAGCCUGCCUUGCUGUGCUUUCUCAGCAGAGCAGCAAACGCCUCAUAGGGGUGGGUGUGGCGGCAGCCCUCAAAGCCAGACAGCAGCAUUCCUGAGGCUACAUCUGCUCAUCUGGUUUACAAAAUCAUUCCAAAAGAUGAGGAAUCUCUGGCAUGGCCAGCCUCCUCACCCCAUUUCAUCCCGACGUGACUGACACAAUGGACGUGUCAUAAGGUGCCACCACAGGGUGCAGACACGCAGAACCAAAGGCGGGGAGAGGCACACUAGCAUAUAAACAGCUUCUGGAAAAUGGUCACGUACAUUCUGCUUAAGCUUUGCUUCCCAGCAAAGCCAAAAAAAGGAGGAAAUUAAAGUCUGUGUAGGGAGUGACAGAAAUGAAAACAACAGAUUGCAAGGAUUCCAUUUUCAUUUCUUGAAAAAGCUGACACAGGGAGGCAGGAGGGUCAAGGGAAAAAGGAAAACAGUCCCAAAGUACCAUUUAUCUAGCUAGGGCUGCCAGAUGAUUCCCCAGUGCUGCAGGCACUCUGGGCCUCCUACAUCAAGACAGUUAUUCACAACCUCAGGGCUGAGGCUGGCUAAAGUGGGUAUGCAGAACAUUCUGUUCCUUUAGUCAAUGGUCUUACUGUUUUACAAGGAUAAGCUCAUGGAGCUUAAAUAUACAAAAUAGGGGAGAAAUACAGAAAGCUAUCUGAAGACUAUCACAGUUCAGACUUUCAGAGCAGCUGACACGGCAGGCAGGCGGAGCAGAGCCACCAAGGGCAACCCGUGGCCGUCCUCCUCUGAAAGCUAAGGUGCAGCAGCACCUCCUUGGGAGUCACCAACAGUGGCGCCUGUACUUGCAACGGCUGGGUGAGAAUCUGUUCCCGUUCUGACUGGCUGGAGUGGGGAGAGAUCCAUGGACUUUUGUCCCUAACGUGUUACAUAGGACACAAUAUAAGCAGGGUGAUUUGGAAUUUGGGAAAAGGCUGACCUAAUAUAGGAGAUACACACACACACACACACACACACACACACACACACACACACACUUAUUGUUUUUCUUUCAGUUAUAUUUUCUAUUCCCUUCCCAGUCUUGGUUUCCAGAAGAGGAACCGGAGAAUGAUAAAGAGGACAGUGUCCUUCUCCAACAUUCCCAUAUCAGAGUACCUGCAAGUUACCUUUCCAUCCCAGCCAACUCUCAAAUACUGUUCAAGGACUUAAAAAAAAAAAUGCUUCUCUCUGAGAUCAAGAGAAGUGGCUGCUGACUACCCUAUAUAUAGUAGCUGAGUAAGGUCAGAAAACCGACUGUGGCAAAGGGCCUGGAGGCAGCUGUCCCCACGCAGGUCUAGAUAUCUAAUGACAGGCCCAGAGUUCACCCCCAGAGAUCUCAUCUAAAACAUCAUAGCAGCAUGUGGAUGAACCUACCUACAGCUUUCCCAGGCUCCCCCUGGCUGCCCGCAAGCCACUUACCCAGCAGACGAGACCCCAUCUGCUCCUUUAUGUUCCUGCAACCGCCAAGUGCUUCCCACCCCCGCACAACCAUGCUGCUCCCUGCUCUGGGCCCAUCUGCAACACCCUCCCUGUUGGCCCGUGCUUUCCUUUCCCUGGCCAUCCCCCCCACAGGUGAUACAAGACGGAGUCCUGGAGUCAGACAUGGGGUUUGAAUCUAGAAGUCCUAGGGCAAGUCUCUGAAUCUUAGCUGCAAGGAUUCGGGGAGAUAAAGCACAACCCAGCCCAUUCGUCUGCCGGGCCUCAACGGGAGCAUCCGUUACUGAAAUGUCAAUAUGCUGAGGUAAGUCCUUGCCCCUCUCCAUCAGACUGUGAACUACCUGAGACCAGGCACCCUGUCUUUUAUUUGUCCCGGCACUUUGACCAGAGCCUUAUAAAUCAGAGAUGUUCCAUCAGCGCUGGCUGUGCUAUGGUACCAACCGACAGAUGCAGCAGGGAUGGGGUUACCACAACUCUGGGUGCCUCUCGGCCUUCUUCCAUGGAACUGAGCCCCCAUGCAGAUGAUAUACUGGUGUCGUGUGCUCCGUGUGCAGGUGCUGAGAAGGAGGAAGCUCCAUAGGACGUGCCUGCAUUUGUCCUUGGUACUAUGCCGAAGUCAAUGCACAUGUGUGCAAGGGAAAUGGCGGCAGCUCUACAGACUCAUCUGUACGAGGCAGGGGGCGGUGACUGACUCUGGGCCUGUGUCCCGGCACAAAGUUCCUGGGGCCGAGAGGCUCACCGCGUUCACCAAAGUAGAUGGAACUAACCUGGAGAACCCAGGCCCCGUGCUCUAUGCUGACUGCUCAGCAUCGUGGAACUUGCUUUCUCUCACUCUGGCUAACAUGAGCAAACAGCAAAGCCACAGACCUCGCGAUGCCUCUCAGGCGCACAGCAACCCCAGAACAAGCUGAGGGAGCCAUUCGGCACUGCACCCAGUUACUUAUGAGUAUUCCAGGAGGCUCUGGCCCGUCAACGCUCACCUGAAUCUCCUUCAGAAGCCUAUUUAGGGGAAAUCAGGCCCUGGAGACCAGAGUCUUGUGAAGCCUGCCCUUUUCAGACUUUCAACCCGGGGCUGAACCAGAACUCCACUGAAGGCUGUGGGGGCCUGUUGCCCCCCAAAUUCAGAGGCUGCAGAGACCACAUGGAAAACACUAAUGAUGGCAAAGUGACGGCAGUGCAGGAGUUACAAGGAUGAACCCUCGAGCGGCCUGUCUGGGUUCGCAUUCUGGCUCAGCCACUUACUUACCAGCCU